UGAUGUAUACGUAAUGUGAGAUGUAAACAUUCAUUUUCAUUUUUUUAAACAGACGAUAAUAGUCUUUGAUUAAGAAUAAUGUUUUUAAAAUAUCUAAUUUUAUUACUCUUUCUUCGAGAAAAAAAAACAACGUAUGGAGGAAUAAAAUAUGGUAUCUCAUGAUAGUUCUGUCGAAACCAUAAAAUAUUUGUAUAAAGUCAGUAAAACUGUUUAGUUCAAUGUUGUACGAACAACCAUGAUGUAUUGAUACCGUAUCGGUUUUUGCCGAAAAUAUGCGAAGUUUGACCUGUUUAUGCACAAAAAAAAUAAAUGUGAGUUAAUAAAUAAAAGUUCCCUUUAUUUUUAUUGGGUGUAGGAUGAGAUAUACCCUGACGCAUUUCAUUGAAAUGGUAAAAGGUAUUUAUAUAUUGCAUUAAAUCCCUUUGCUAAAAAAAGUAUGUUGAAAUAGUUUUCUUGCUUUCCAAGUUGUUGUUUAUAAACGUCGACUUCAUGACGUUAUUGCGGUUUUUUGUAAGAAAGAACGUUGUGUUUAACUAACUCUCACAACGCUAUGUUUAACUUAACUCUCACAAUGCUAUAUUAACGACAUGAGAUAUCAGGAAAAAUUAAUUUUUUCUGAGAAUUGCAUAUUGUGGACAUCUUAUGUAUCUGAUAUUGCUGCAAGACGCACCUAGCUAUGUUGUGGCAAUAAGCAUCUAACACUACGGAAUUCACUUAUUCUGUAUGACUUUGGACUGAUUUAAGGUUGAACAGCCGUUUUGUGAGAGAUUACAUUUUCGUGUGGGAAUUCAGCUUGGCAUUAAACCUGCAUCCGACACACAUAUUGUAUACGUAUUAAUCAGAAAACAUGAUGAACAUCCCCUCCCGCCUUAAUCCAAUUUGAUCUUGACCUGAAAGAAACCGCUUUUGAUUGUUUAUCUUUUUUCCACAAAAUGGACAUACAAUCAGUGAAUUAGGAUAUUGGGAUUGCAUAUGUAUUUAUGUGGAAAUGUGGCAUGCUUUUGAUUCGGAAGUGCUGUGUCCAAGUUAAUCACCUAACUGAAGUAGAAGGCAAAAUAAUUCACAAAAUUGAAACAUGAAACAUUGAAACUUGUACCAAAAGAUUGAUCCUUACCUUACAAAAAUAGAUUCCCUAAGGUUAGCCUUUAUAGAUGUCACGGUGACCUAUGUGAAUCCCAGACAAUAUGGUGGAAAUGAACAUACUAGUCUACUUUUCGGUAAAGGAUUAUCUCAUAUUCACAGUGAGCGAGCUGGUGCGCUACUCAGAAUUGUUUUGUAUGUACCCGUCAAUAAAGCACACCUGAUCUCAAUUGGCUGGCAGACUGCAACUCAUAAAUAUUCAUAACAUGAUAUAUUCGUGCAUUUUCAUUGCCAUACCUUUGGUAAACUACCGACAAUCUUAGACAAAGAAAACAUUCCGUCAUUGUGUAAGUCUGGUUUCUUUCAUAAAUAAAACGUACAAAUGGUUGUAUAUUAUUUCCAUUUUCAUACUACGUUAAUAUUCAACAUGUCUGUGGAUAACUGAUUUUUGAAUGAAUUAUUUAUAUCAAAUAGUCCGUAUUAAUUUUGAUACACCCUGUAGGUCGGGUCUACGUGACUUUAGCGGCUAGAUGGUACAAGUUAAUUUGUAUGCACUACGUCACACUCGGUACUCCCUGUGAUCGAACCCAUUCAUUACACUUUUUCCAACCGAAGCACCCAUCCACCCUCCCCCAAUUUUAAUUUGUAUAUACAUGUUCUUUCCUUUUGGUUCUGCUGUUUCCAUCUCUUUCAUAGGUUUCGCAACAGACGAAGACUCCCAACAGGUUACCUGGAUAAAGUAAAUGGUAAAGCCUGGACCACACCAAGUGUGACUGCAUUGCCAUUCCGGAUGGAGUGCCUUAAUAACAACUUUUUAAAUGUUAAAGGGGAAUUUUUAAUUUUAAGGCAAAUUGUUGAUACAGUGUAUUUGAGUCUAAUUAAUUAGACAGUCGCAUGUUUAAGGGGGAGUUGGGGACUGGGGAGUCGGUAAUGGUAUGUGAUGACUGUUUCUGCACCAAAACCUGGUUGUUUCCCCCACCUGCUUCUAAAGCAGGGGGCAAUUUACAGUACUAAAAGUCGUACAAGUUAAAAGAAGUAAACUAAUAGUGGGGCCACCAUCGGGGACGGUUGGGGCCACAUCCACCUCACUUCAGUAAGGGGAUGCUACAGUCUGAUGCAUGUUUGGGGCUUAUGUCCAACAUGAUAAUGUACAUACCAGGUAGCACUGCAGGAAACAGGGUGAGAAAGGCGGGUCUCGCUUAUUGUCCAUUUCUAUAUAUCCCGAAUGUGUCAUUGCUGUUAUAUGAAUAAAUUGGUAAACGUU
Ostrea edulis (European flat oyster) is the source of this 2344-nucleotide long non-coding RNA. RefSeq lists it as uncharacterized. The record is from RefSeq and is a predicted model, not a curated record. Lineage: Eukaryota; Metazoa; Mollusca; Bivalvia; Ostreida; Ostreidae. The transcript is spliced from 2 exons.